CCAAUAGCGUAUAUUAAAGUUGUUGCAGUUAAAAAGCUCGUAGUUGAAUUUCGGGAUCAAUAUUUCGGUCAUGCCGUUGGUAUGCACUGUUAUCAUUGAUUUCUCACCUUCUAAAGAACCGUAAUGCCAUUAAUUUGGUGUUACGGGGAAUUAGGACUGUUACCUUGAAAAAAUUAGAGUGUUUAAAGCAGGCUCACGCUUGAAUACAUUAGCAUGGAAUAAUGAAAUAGGACAUCCGAUUCUAUUUUGUUGGUUUCUAGGAUCGAUGUAAUGAUUAAUAG
This 281-nucleotide ribosomal RNA is filed under the name uncultured Glomus. RNAcentral describes it as "partial 18S small subunit ribosomal RNA". It matches the Rfam family "Eukaryotic small subunit ribosomal RNA", at positions 591 to 875 of the family's 1831-position model. Lineage: Eukaryota; Fungi; Glomeromycota; Glomeromycetes; Glomerales; Glomeraceae. The record is from RNAcentral.